RNAcentral lists this ribosomal RNA (509 nucleotides) under uncultured Bacillus sp. RNAcentral's name for it is "bacterial SSU rRNA". It matches the Rfam family "Bacterial small subunit ribosomal RNA", at positions 119 to 613 of the family's 1533-position model. The record is from RNAcentral. Lineage: Bacteria; Bacillati; Bacillota; Bacilli; Caryophanales; Bacillaceae.
GGGCAACCUACCUUAUAGUUUGGGAUAACUCCGGGAAACCGGGGCUAAUACCGAAUAAUCUAUUGUCCCUCAUGGGACAAUACUGAAAGACGGUUUCGGCUGUCGCUAUAAGAUGGGCCCGCGGCGCAUUAGCUAGUUGGUGAGGUAACGGCUCACCAAGGCGACGAUGCGUAGCCGACCUGAGAGGGUGAUCGGCCACACUGGGACUGAGACACGGCCCAGACUCCUACGGGAGGCAGCAGUAGGGAAUCUUCCGCGAUGGACGAAAGUCUGACGGAGCAACGCCGUGUGAGUGAUGAAGGGUUUCGGCUCGUAAAGCUCUGUUGUUAGGGAAGAACAAGUAUCGUUCGAAUAGGGCGGUACCUUGACGGUACCUGACCAGCAAGCCACGGCUAACUACGUGCCAGCAGCCGCGGUAAUACGUAGGUGGCAAGCGUUGUCCGGAAUUAUUGGGCGUAAAGCGCGCGCAGGCGGUUUCUUAAGUCUGAUGUGAAAGCCCCCGGCUCAAC